Non-coding RNA from Ameiurus melas (black bullhead), 76 nucleotides. The record is from the annotation of a GenBank genome assembly. Lineage: Eukaryota; Metazoa; Chordata; Actinopteri; Siluriformes; Ictaluridae.
GGCACGGUGACGUAGUGGUUAGCAUGUUUGCCUCGCACCUCCUGAAGUCAGGGGUUCUAAUCCAGCCUCUGUCCUG